AUGACUCCACACAUAGUGUACACACACCCCACACACACACACACUCAUGUAUCCACACCCCUUGUCCUACACCACCCCACACACACACAUGUUCAUGUAUCCACACCUUUUGUCCUGUGGUGUGUACACACACCACACACUCAUGUAUCCAUACUGCUUGCCCUGUGGUGUGUACACACCCCCCCACACACACACGCUCAUGUACCCACACCGCUUGUCCUGUGGUGUGUACACACCCCACACACACACACGCUCAUGUACCCACACCCUUUGUCCUGUGGUGUGUACACACCCCCACACACACACGCUCAUGUACCCACACCCCUUGUCCUGUGGUGUGUACACACCCCCACACACACACACGCUCAUGUACCCACACCCCUUGUCCUGUGGUGUGUACACACCCCCACACACACACGCUCAUGUACCCACACCGCUUGUCCUGUGGUGUGUACACACACCCCCACACACACACACUCAUGUACCCACACCGCUUGUCCUGUGGUGUGUACACACCCCCCACACACAUACACGCUCAUGUACCCACACCCUUUGUCCUGUGGUGUGUACACACCCCCCCACACACACGCUCAUGUACCCACACCGCUUGUCCUGUGGUGUGUACACACCCCCACACACACACACGCUCAUGUACCCACACCGCUUGUCCUGUGGUGUGUACACACCCCCACACACACACACGCUCAUGUACCCACACCCCUUGUCCUGUGGUGUGUACACACCCCCACACACACACACGCUCAUGUACCCACACUGCUUGUCCUGUGGUGUGUACACACCCCCCACACACACACGCUCAUGUACCCACACCGCUUGUCCUGUGGUGUGUACACACCCCCACACACACACACGCUCAUGUACCCACACCCCUUGUCCUGUGGUGUGUACACACCCCCACACACACACACGCUCAUGUACCCACACUGCUUGUCCUGUGGUGUGUACACACCCCCCACACACACACGCUCAUGUACCCACACCCCUUGUCCUGUGGUGUGUACACACCCCCACACACACACACGCUCAUGUACCCACACCGCUUGUCCUGUGGUGUGUACACACCCCCCACACACACAUGCUCAUGUACCCACACCGCUUGUCCUGUGGUGUGUACACACCCCCACACACACAUGCUCAUGUACCCACACCGCUUGUCCUGAGGUGUGUACACACCCCCACACACACACGCUCAUGUACCCACACCGCUUGUCCUGUGGUGUGUCUUCAUCCAGGACCAGGAACACUGACCGCAACAGCGCGGAGGGAGCUUGGCGAGCCACAGGUCAGAGCACUCCCUCCCACUGGCUCCCCUGCCCUGGAGCCAGGCUAGCCCUCCCUCUUCUACCUCAUGAGGCUGUUCCCACUGUGUCCUUGGACAGCCCUAGGCAUGCAUCCCCAGACCAAACCCAGCUCCGCAACGAAGAGGAAAAGAAGCCAACGCUGAGCAGGGCUGCUAGUCAGUAUCCUAUGCAAAUCCUGGUGGCCAAGGCCUGA
Molecule: long non-coding RNA, 1515 nt
Filed under: Bos indicus x Bos taurus (hybrid cattle)
Lineage: Eukaryota; Metazoa; Chordata; Mammalia; Artiodactyla; Bovidae
Description: lncRNA (ENSBIXG00000002031.1)
Source: RNAcentral